This 72-nucleotide transfer RNA is filed under the name Rhipicephalus microplus (southern cattle tick). RNAcentral describes it as "tRNA-Trp". It matches the Rfam family "tRNA". Rfam says of the family: Transfer RNA (tRNA) molecules are approximately 80 nucleotides in length. Their secondary structure includes four short double-helical elements and three loops (D, anti-codon, and T loops). Lineage: Eukaryota; Metazoa; Arthropoda; Arachnida; Ixodida; Ixodidae. The record is from Rfam by way of RNAcentral.
GACUCGGUGGCGCAACUUUAGCACGUCUGACUCCAGAUCAGAAGGUUGCGUGUUCGAAUCACGUCCGGGUCA